CGGCAGUAGCGGCGAGCGAACCCGGAGGAGCCUAGCUUUUGAUAGUACGAACUUUAGCCGAAAGGUCCUGGAAAGGCCUGCUAUAGUGGGUGAUAGCCCCGUAGGCGAAAGAGUUCGUAUGGUACUAAGGAAGCGAGAAGUAGAGCGGGACACGUGGAAUCCUGUUCGAAGAUGGGGGGACCAUCCUCCAAGGCUAAAUACUCGUGAUCGACCGAUAGUGAACCAGUACCGUGAGGGAAAGGCGAAAAGAACCCCGGGAGGGGAGUGAAAUAGAACCUGAAACCGCAUGCAUACAAACAGUAGGAGCCUCACCAGAGGUGACUGCGUACCUUUUGCAUAAUGGGUCAGCGACUUACAUUCUGUGGCGAGCUUAACCGAAUAGGGGAGGCGCAGCGAAAGCGAGUUCGAAAUGAGCGUCCAGUCGCAGGGUGUAGACCCGAAACCAGAUGAGCUAUCCAUGGCCAGGUUGAAGGUGUGGUAACACACACUGGAGGACCGAACCGACUAGUGUUGCAAAAUUAGCGGAUGAGCUGUGGAUAGGGGUGAAAGGCCAAACAAAUCUGGAGAUAGCUGGUUCUCCCCGAAAACUAUUGAGGUAGUGCCUCGUGUGUCGCUCCAGGGGGUAGAGCACUGUUUUGGCUAGGGGGACAUGGAGUCUUACCAAACCAAGGCAAACUCCGAAUACCUGGAAGCGUAAGCACGGGAGACAGAGCACCGGGUGCUAACGUCCGGACUCAAAAGGGAAACAACCCAGACCGCCGGCUAAGGUCCCCAAUAACAGCUAAGUGGAAAACGAAGUGGAAAGGCCGUGACAACCAGGAAGUUGGCUUAGAAGCAGCCAUCCUUCAAAGAAAGCGUAAUAGCUCACUGGUCGAGUCCUUCUGCGCGGAAGAUGUAACGGGGCUAAGCUGUUAACCGAAGCCGCGGAUGCACUGAUUAUUCAGUGCGUGGUAGGGGAGCGUUCUGUAAGUCUGCGAAGGCGGUUCGAGAGGACUGCUGGAGAUAUCAGAAGUGCGAAUGCUGACAUGAGUAACGUUAAAGCAGGUGAAAAGCCUGCUCGCCGUAAGCCCAAGGAUUCCUGCUCUACGUUCAUCGGAGCAGGGUGAGUCGGCUCCUAAGGUCAGGCCGAAAGGCGUAGCCGAUGGGAAUCAGGUUAAUAUUCCUGAACCUGCGUCAGAUGCGAUGGGGGGACGGAGCAUGAAAGAUCAUCCGGGUGUUGGAUGUCCCGGUUGACGAGCGUAGGAGGUCUGCAGGCAAAUCCGCAGACGCAUCUCCAAGGCGAAGUCACGUGCCGCCACGGCGGCGAAGUGAUCGGAAGUGCUUCCAAGAAAAGCCUCUAAGCACCAGUCUGACGCGGACCGUACCGCAAACCGACACUGGUGGGCGAGCUGAAUAUGCUCAGGCGCUUGAGAGAACUCGGGAGAAGGAACUCGGCAAAUUGACACCGUAACUUCGGAAGAAGGUGUGCCGUAGUAGCGUGAGAGGAGAGACACCUUGAGCGUGAAUCGGUCUCAGAGAAUAGGUGGCUGCGACUGUUUAUUAAAAACACAGCACUCUGCAAAGUCGAAAGACGACGUAUAGGGUGUGAUGCCUGCCCGGUGCUGGAAGAUUAAUUGAUGGGGUGAGAGCCCUUGAUCGAAGUCCCAGUAAACGGCGGCCGUAACUAUAACGGUCCUAAGGUAGCGAAAUUCCUUGUC
RNAcentral lists this ribosomal RNA (1697 nucleotides) under human gut metagenome. Its description in RNAcentral is "bacterial LSU rRNA". It matches the Rfam family "Bacterial large subunit ribosomal RNA", at positions 238 to 1973 of the family's 2925-position model. The record is from RNAcentral.